CACUCCUACGGGAGGCAGCAGUGGGGAAUAUUGGACAAUGGGCGCAAGCCUGAUCCAGCCAUGCCGCGUGAGUGAUGAAGGCCCUAGGGUUGUAAAGCUCUUUCACCGGUGAAGAUAAUGACGGUAACCGGAGAAGAAGCCCCGGCUAACUUCGUGCCAGCAGCCGCGGUAAUACGAAGGGGGCUAGCGUUGUUCGGAUUUACUGGGCGUAAAGCGCACGUAGGCGGACUAUUAAGUCAGGGGUGAAAUCCCGGGGCUCAACCCCGGAACUGCCUUUGAUACUGGUAGUCUUGAGUUCGAGAGAGGUGAGUGGAAUUCCGAGUGUAGAGGUGAAAUUCGUAGAUAUUCGGAGGAACACCAGUGGCGAAGGCGGCUCACUGGCUCGAUACUGACGCUGAGGUGCGAAAGCGUGGGGAGCAAACAGGAUUAGAUACCCUUGUAGUCCCAUGA
This 450-nucleotide ribosomal RNA is filed under the name uncultured organism. RNAcentral's name for it is "partial 16S ribosomal RNA". It matches the Rfam family "Bacterial small subunit ribosomal RNA", at positions 334 to 800 of the family's 1533-position model. The record is from RNAcentral.